Molecule: long non-coding RNA, 242 nt
Filed under: Pelobates cultripes (western spadefoot toad)
Lineage: Eukaryota; Metazoa; Chordata; Amphibia; Anura; Pelobatidae
Source: RNAcentral
GUGGCAAGCGGCGGGAUUUCCUCCCGAACGGACGUACCGAAUUGAAACAAGUGGUGAAUGGCGCAUAGAUACGAACGCUUGAAACGAACCACAUUAAAGGAACUGCUGGAAGUUCGAGGCAUAGUGGCAAGCAACAAACCGAAAGCCAUGUUAAUAGCCGAACUACUGGAGAGCGAUCAAACCGGCGAACCACAAAUGGCGAAUGCAGAGGAAACAGAGUUCCAGAGGGAUGUGAGAUGGAG